UAUAUCCGAGAACAUGCUCUAAAUCUUUGCUAUCUUAUCUUUAUAAAAGAAAAAAAGAUGUUCCAUUUCAUUUUUCAAAUAAUUCCAACAUUCGCCUUUCUAAAGCCAAACACAAAUUUAAAUAAAGUUGUUCAAGUUUUAAAUCCCCUGUAUAGCUCUAAAGUUCUCAUGCUGGGUGAAUGUAACAAAACAGGGCAAUGUGGGUGUGCCACGACGAUGGCAUUAUAACUCCCCAGGCUCUGAUCCCUUUCACACAGUGGGGAGCCUCCAGAGGGGCGCCAAGUUCAUGCACCUGAACCCAUUUUUGGUUAUUUAUUUCCCGCCUUUCUGCAAUCUUCAAAGCUUCAGUGCAAUGUGUAUGCAAAUGUGAGGGUACCACAGUACCAGGACACGCUCAAUCGCAGAGGCACAGUGCUGCUUUGUAAGCACUAAACAUUGAGGCAGGAUUGGAACCAGACGACUGGUGAGGGAUUAAGAAGAAGAGAUAUGAAAUAAUGGGAUGGGGCUGAACUUGAAAGCAUGGUUGAUCUUUGCCUUCCAUCAUUCAUGUCCUUGGUUCUCCUCAAGGAGGAAGAAAAGCAAGAAGAGAAAAGAGGGCCAUCGGUUGCAUAACAUUUGCUACAGAACAGAGUGUUAUAUGAUCAUUUAUAUAUCUAAUAUUAUUUGGACCUCAGUUGGUUCUGGCAUUCUGUCAAUAAUAUAGAGUCAAAAUACUUCAGUUCAGAGUUCAUUCACAUAAAGGUAGCAGACUUAUUUAUCUUGACAUCAGAAAAAAAAAAUCUUACUUGCAACUAAAGAUAGAUUACAUUAGUUUUCCUUGACGUCUACCUUCAGAUUUGUCCUUUUUUUUAAUACUUAAUAAUUAGCUUAGCAUCUUGGCCUUAAAAUACAUUGAUUUAUGUAAAGUCCAUGAGAAUCCUGAAAUUGCAAACUUAUUCUAAUGAAUUAAUCAGAAAAUAGGUUGGAUUGUCCUCCUGUUGGAUCUGCAUUCAGCUUGGCAUGGAUAAUUACUGUUCAUCAGUACAAACAGCAAUGGAGGGAAAAGAGAGAUUUAUAGUUGCUAUUUUCACCUGAAGAUGCCGACGUUAAAGUUCAACAAACACUCUGUGCUGGUGACAAACUCUUAUCCAUCUUUAAAAAUGCAACAAAUUUAAAGAAUCAUUUUCAUGGCACGGUAAAGUCAGUCUUAAAAAGAGAGUUCCACCUGCUAGCGUGAAGCAAAUAAUGAAUGAUGGAGGAGUUUUUUUCAGUGUCUAUAGAAAACAAGCCACACAGUAAAUUCCAACAUUUAAAAUGACUAAAAUUACAAAUUGCUUUAAAAAACAACUUAAAAUCUCUGGAACUGCAACGGAAGAAAUGAAGCCUUUUAGAAAGCAAAUCAACAUAAACCUCCCCUGCAUUCAUAACCUGACUAAGUCAGUCCUUUAUUUUUCAUUUCCACAUAGUUGUAAAGUCCAUCGAAAGAAUCUCUUAGAGCUCUAUUGACAAUACUAAGAUCAAUUAUAGAACAGAAGCAGUUGCUCAAGAUGAUGAUAAUAUUAGGGAGAUGAUAAUCCAGUAAGACGCCUCUCUGUCUCCUUCCUAGUUACUACACACCGUAAAUCUUGGCACCCGUGCCAUUCCUCUUAAUGAAUAUGGCUGGGCCAGCUGUACAUAAAAGCACCAAAUCUGUCACAAGGUACUUUCAGGUCAUAUUUUCAGUUAACUGUCAGUCAGUGUCUGUUAACAGUGUUUAAGCAGAAGUGGCAGUGUUUUCUUCAGACAGUUCUGGGCUGCUCCAGGGAGCUUGGGUCCCUAAUUGACAGUGAUGUGUUCUUUGAGUUGGUGUUGAAAUUUCUCAUCCGGCAAGCUGACCAGAGCUGCAGUCCCUGACAAGACACAUUAAUUAACAUUGAGAA
Poecilia latipinna (sailfin molly) is the source of this 1898-nucleotide long non-coding RNA. RefSeq lists it as uncharacterized. The transcript is spliced from 2 exons. NCBI's taxonomy places the organism in Eukaryota, Metazoa, Chordata, Actinopteri, Cyprinodontiformes, Poeciliidae. The record is from RefSeq and is a predicted model, not a curated record.